This 696-nucleotide ribosomal RNA is filed under the name Triticum aestivum (bread wheat). RNAcentral describes it as "partial small subunit ribosomal RNA". The record is from RNAcentral. Lineage: Eukaryota; Viridiplantae; Streptophyta; Magnoliopsida; Poales; Poaceae.
AUGCCGAUUAACGUUGAGGAGGACCGGGAUGUUCUUUCCUGGCGCCUCGAGCCCUCUGGCCGUUUCUCCACGAAGUCCCUGUACGGCGCCAUUGCUCCCUCGACGGCCCCGGAACCAUUUAGCCUGAUCUGGGACAUCCGACUUCCGCUGAAAAUCAGGAUCUUUCUGUGGCAAUGGAUCCGUGGACGCCUCCCCUCUGUGCUUGAAGUCCUCAAGCGUAAUGGCCCGGGUGAUGGGAUGUGCCCCAUCUGUGGCACGAUUGAGGAUGCUAACCACAUCUUUUUCUCGUGCCACUCGGCCCAGUUCCUUUGGGCCUGCUUCCGUGAAACGGUUGGCGAACAGUGGUGUAAUACCAACUUCCCCGACCUGCUUGUCGAGCUCAACGCUUCCCCUACUCGCUACCGCCAUAUUAGAUGGUUGUGCGUUGGGGUUCUCGCCUGGUUGCUUUGGAACAUUCGUAAUAAGCUUGUUAUUCAGAAGGUGCCUCUCCGACGUGCGACUGACGCAAUCUUCAAAUUGUGUGGCUACCUGCAGCUUUGGCGGCCGCUUAGCCGCCCCAGGACCGGGACGUCAUCACCACCCUCCUCUCCGAUCUCCGCUCGAUGGCGCUCCGCGUGGCUCCCCCGCUGCCGCCUCCUCCUCCUGAGCCUGACUAGACCGCCUGGCGGCUGUAUGGCGUGUGUGUUUUGGGUUUAG